This 254-nucleotide ribosomal RNA is filed under the name uncultured bacterium. Its description in RNAcentral is "partial 16S ribosomal RNA". It matches the Rfam family "Bacterial small subunit ribosomal RNA", at positions 524 to 776 of the family's 1533-position model. The record is from RNAcentral.
UACGGGGGGAGCAAGCGUUGUUCGGAUUUACUGGGCGUAAAGGGCGCGUAGGCGGUCAGCACAAGUCAGUUGUGAAAUCUCCGGGCUUAACUCGGAACGGUCAACUGAUACUGUGCGACUAGAGUGCAGAAGGGGCAACUGGAAUUCUCGGUGUAGCGGUGAAAUGCGUAGAUAUCGAGAGGAACACCUGCGGCGAAGGCGGGUUGCUGGGCUGACACUGACGCUGAGGAGCGAAAGCAUGGGGAGCGAAUAGG